GACGUAGGGCGCAAGCGUUGUCCGGAUUUAUUGGGCGUAAAGAGCUCGUAGGCGGCUUGUUGCGUCGUCCGUGAAAACCCGUGGCUCAACUGCGGGCUUGCGGACGAUACGGGCAGGCUGGAGUUCGGUAGGGGAGACUGGAAUUCCUGGUGUAGCGGUGAAAUGCGCAGAUAUCAGGAGGAACACCGGUGGCGAAGGCGGGUCUCUGGGCCGAUACUGACGCUGAGGAGCGAAAGCGUGGGAAGCGAACAGG
This 253-nucleotide ribosomal RNA is filed under the name uncultured bacterium. RNAcentral describes it as "partial 16S ribosomal RNA". It matches the Rfam family "Bacterial small subunit ribosomal RNA", at positions 524 to 776 of the family's 1533-position model. The record is from RNAcentral.